This 893-nucleotide ribosomal RNA is filed under the name uncultured archaeon. Its description in RNAcentral is "bacterial SSU rRNA". It matches the Rfam family "Archaeal small subunit ribosomal RNA", at positions 21 to 904 of the family's 1478-position model. The record is from RNAcentral.
CCCGACUGCUAUUUGGGUGAGGAUAAGCCAUGCGAGUUGAAUGGGAAACCUAAAAAUCCCAUGGCAAACUGCUCAGUAACACAUGAUCAACUUACCCUAUAGAGGAAAAUAACCUCGGGAAACUGAGGAUAAUGUUCCAUAGUUGAAUCGGCUUGGAAAAGUUUUUCAAUAAAAGGGAUAAGGAAAAUGUCCUCAUCUGCUAUAGGAUAGGAUCGUGCUCGAUUAUGGUUGUUGGUGAGGUAAAGGCUCACCAAGCCGAUAAUCGAUAGGGGCCGUGAGAGCGGGAGCCCCGAGAUGGGUACUGAGACAACGACCCAGGCCUUACGAGGCGCAGCAGGCGCGAAACCUCCGCAAUACACGAAAGUGUGACGGGGUUACCCAAAGUGUUCAUUAGAACUGUGGUAGGUGAGUAAUGUUCCCUACUAGAAAGGAGAGGGCAAGGCUGGAGCCAGCCGCCGCGGUAAAACCAGCUCUUCAAGUGGUCGGGAUAAUAUUGGGCUUAAAGUGUCCGUAGCCGGUUUAGUAAGUUCCUGGUAAAAUCGGGUAGCUUAACUAUCUAUAUGCUAGGAAUACUGCUAUACUAGAGGGCGGGAGAGGUCUGAGGUACUACAGGGGUAGGGGUGAAACCUUAUAAUCCUUGUUGGACCACCAGUGGCGAAGGCGUCAGACUGGAACGCGCCUGACGGUGAGGGACGAAAGCCAGGGGAGCGAACCGGAUUAGAUACCCGGGUAGUCCUGGCCGUAAACGAUGCAUACUAGGUGAUGGCACGGCCAUGAGCCGUGUCAGUGCCGUAGGGAAACCGUUAAGUGUGCCGCCUGGGAAGUACGGUCGCAAGGCUAAAACUUAAAGGAAUUGGCGGGGGAGCACCACAAGGGGUGAAGCCUGCGGUUCA